AACGAACGCUGGCGGCAGGCCUAACACAUGCAAGUCGAGCGAGGACUUCGGUUCUAGCGGCGGACGGGUGAGUAACGCGUGGGAAUGUGCCCUUCUCUACGGAAUAGCCCUGGGAAACUGGGAGUAAUACCGUAUACGCUCUUUUGGGGAAAGAUUUAUCGGAGAAGGAUCAGCCCGCGUUGGAUUAGGUAGUUGGUGGGGUAAUGGCCUACCAAGCCGACGAUCCAUAGCUGGUUUGAGAGGAUGAUCAGCCACACUGGGACUGAGACACGGCCCAGACUCCUACGGGAGGCAGCAGUGGGGAAUCUUAGACAAUGGAGGCAACCCUGAUCAAGCCAUGCCGCGUAAGUGAUGAAGGCCUUAGGGUUGUAAAGCUCUUUCAGCUGGGAAGAUAAUGACGGUACCAGCAGAAGAAGCCCCGGCUAACUCCGUG
Molecule: ribosomal RNA, 433 nt
Filed under: uncultured bacterium
Lineage: Bacteria
Description: partial 16S ribosomal RNA
Rfam family: Bacterial small subunit ribosomal RNA
Source: RNAcentral